Molecule: long non-coding RNA, 1161 nt
Organism: Anolis carolinensis (green anole)
Lineage: Eukaryota; Metazoa; Chordata; Lepidosauria; Squamata; Anolidae
Exons: 2
Source: RefSeq, a predicted model, not a curated record
CUUAAUUUGUAAAAUCAUAACCUUAUUUGAUGUUUAAUAAGCUUUUCCUUAAUCUCUCCUUAGUAUCCAAGAUAUUCGCUUAUCCAAGCAUUCUGCCGGCCCGUUUAGCUUGGAUAAGUGAGACUCUACUGUACUUGUUAUUAGAUAUUAUAUAUUAUUUGUGGGUUGUGCAUUUUCCGGGAUGUUUGGCCAUGUUCCAGAAGCAUUCUCUCCUGACAACCUCUGAGGAUGCCUGCCACAUUUAUGGCAGGCAUCCUCAAAGGUUGUGAGGUAUAUUGGAAACUAAGCAAAGGAGGUUUAUGUCUGUGGAAGGUCUAGGUUGGGAGAAAGAAGGAACUUUUGUCUGUUGGAGGUAAGCAUGAAUGUUGUAAUUAAUCACCUUGAAUAGCAUUGAAUGGCCUUGCAGCUUCAAAGCUUGACUUCAUCCUGCCUGGGGGAAUCCUUUGUUGGAAGGUGUUAGCUGCCCCCGAUUGAUUCAUGCCUGGUUUUAGAGUUGUUUAAAUACUGGGAGCCAGAUUUUGUUCAUGUUCAUGGUUUCCUCCUCUCUGUUGACAUUGUCCAUGUGCUUCCUGUGGAUUUCAGUGGCUUCUCAGUGAAACCUGACAUGGUGGUUGUGAGAGUGGUCCAGCCUUUCUGUGUUCUCAAAUAAUAUGCUGUGCCCAGGUUGGUUCAUCAAGUGCUCUGCUAUGACAGACUUCUCUGGUUGAUUUAGUCUGUAGUGCCUUUCGUGUUACUUGAUGCAUGUCUGAGCAAUACGGCUGCGUUUGGGGGUCCCUCUGUAGACCUAUUUGUAUAUGGUAGGUAGACUCCUGCAGAGGGGAGAGGAUCCAUCUUGUCCUUCACUGAACAUGUGCCCUGUCACACGUUGCUGUGGCAUAGUCCUAAGUGGGGUUUUCUUCAUAGUAUUCAAGGCGGUCUAGAAAGGAUUCCCCUAGGUAUGAAGCAGCCAGGCUUUGAAGCUGCAAGGCUAUUCAGUGGUAUUCAAGCUGGCCAACAAUGGAGUCCCCUAGGUAUGAAGCAGCCAGGUUUUGAAGCUGCAAGGUCACUCCUUGGAAAGUGAGGAGUAUUUUGGCCAAAUUUGGUGUGAUUUGGCACAGUGGUUUUGUUGUUAACUCAGUCCUAAUUAUGCACAUUACAUUUUUUAUAUAUAGAUAUAUAUAU